Molecule: ribosomal RNA, 606 nt
Filed under: uncultured bacterium
Lineage: Bacteria
Description: bacterial SSU rRNA
Rfam family: Bacterial small subunit ribosomal RNA (bases 1-522)
Source: RNAcentral
CCUACGGGAGGCAGCAGUGGGGAAUAUUGCACAAUGGGCGCAAGCCUGAUGCAGCAACGCCGCGUGAGGGACGACGGCCUUCGGGUUGUAAACCUCUUUUAGUAGGGAAGAAGCGAAAGUGACGGUACCUGCAGAAAAAGCACCGGCUAACUACGUGCCAGCAGCCGCGGUAAUACGUAGGGUGCAAGCGUUAUCCGGAAUUAUUGGGCGUAAAGAGCUCGUAGGCGGUUUGUCGCGUCUGCUGUGAAAACUGGAGGCUCAACCUCCAGCCUGCAGUGGGUACGGGCAAACUAGAGUGCGGUAGGGGAGAUUGGAAUUCCUGGUGUAGCGGUGGAAUGCGCAGAUAUCAGGAGGAACACCGAUGGCGAAGGCAGAUCUCUGGGCCGUAACUGACGCUGAGGAGCGAAAGCAUGGGGAGCGAACAGGAUUAGAUACCCUGGUAGUCCACGCCGUAAACGUUGGGCGCUAGAUGUGGGGACCAUUCCACGGUUUCCGUGUCGCNGCUACGACAUAGCGCCCGCCGUCGGGAGGACGGCCGCGACGACGUAAACUUAAAUAGAGUAGACGGCGUGAGACGUGCCGACGGACGACGACGAGGGAGGUAGG